Molecule: ribosomal RNA, 257 nt
Filed under: uncultured bacterium
Lineage: Bacteria
Description: partial 16S ribosomal RNA
Rfam family: Bacterial small subunit ribosomal RNA
Source: RNAcentral
ACGAACGCUGGCGGCGUGCUUAACACACGCAAGUCGAACGGUAAGGCCCUUUCGGGGGUACACGAGUGGCGAACGGGUGAGUAACACGUGGGUAAUCUGCCCUGCACUUCGGGAUAAGCCUGGGAAACCGGGUCUAAUACCGGAUAUGAGCUCCUGCCGCAUGGUGGGGGUUGGAAAGUUUUUCGGUGCAGGAUGAGUCCGCGGCCUAUCAGCUUGUUGGUGGGGUAAUGGCCUACCAAGGCGACGACGGGUAGCCG